UUGGGGGCCGCAGGUCAUUUUAACACUCUCCACCCUCCAUUUCGUCUCCAUUCCAUUCAACCGCAUCGAUCACCAUCACCAACCGUGAUGUUCUCGUUUUUGUGGUUGCGAGUAAUGUAAUGACCGCCUAAUGAAGCCAAGUGUGGUC
Molecule: non-coding RNA, 148 nt
Organism: Caenorhabditis elegans
Lineage: Eukaryota; Metazoa; Nematoda; Chromadorea; Rhabditida; Rhabditidae
Source: Ensembl